Oryctolagus cuniculus (rabbit) is the source of this 3411-nucleotide non-coding RNA. Lineage: Eukaryota; Metazoa; Chordata; Mammalia; Lagomorpha; Leporidae. The record is from RefSeq and is a predicted model, not a curated record.
UCUUCGACCCUGCUCCCUCCUCGACCUCAUUGGCCCGCCCGGCUUCCAGCCCCGCCCCCUCCUUAGGGACGAGGUCGCCGGGGAGACCAGCGCCCUGGUUUCCAUGACAACAGGUGCCUUGGGCCUGGCUUUUCGCGUUCCUCUGACUAGUCCGUCGUUCAGGUUAAUGGCCGAGCCGCGAAGUUCCUAACCCUGGCCCUGUGGACUCCUGUUGUGGACCGAGUUGGAAAGGCAGCCGACGGCCCCCGCACUUCCGACUUGAAAAACAGCACUUUUUGGCCCUGAGGAGUGAGAGGGAGAGUGAAAAAAAUGCUAACUGCUUGCUCGUCUCCUGUCAGUCUUAAACCCCUCCCCCCUUGCCUUCCCCGGUCUCAGCCGAGUUUCCACGUUCUCACCGGGCUUUGAAAGGGUGAAGAGAAAGGGGAGAGAGAGAGAGAGAGCGCGCGCAGGGCCGGGCCAGCUCCCUGCAGACAGGACAGCAACUUUAAAAAUGGCGCGGUCAGCGAAAACAGCUCGGCGAGUUUGCCCACCGGUGCACUUCAAAGGUGUGGUGGCAGCAAUACCCCAGAUGCCCUCGGGGAAACCCAAAGUUUUGGAAGAAGAAACCUCUUUAACUUGGCGUGUUCAUCAAUUUAAAGACUAAACCAGCUGAAAUACUAUUAGAAUUUGAUACAUGAUGCACUUCAGUUCCCUGCACUGUAACUCAAUUUGGUGAAGAAGGACUCUUAAAAAUGUGGCAGGAGUGGCCUAGCUGACAGACAACACCAACCACCUGAUGUGGAAGGGAGGCCAUCCCAUCUUAGCCCACCCAGCCUAGUUAAGUCUAUAUAUUCCUGUAGCCACAGAGUGAUUCCAUGUGAGACCAGCAAAAGAAUCAUAAGCAAAUAAAAUGAAAAGUAGCAGCAGAGUUAUCCUGUCCACAUCAUGUUUAGCACUUCUUCUGUAGCAGGUGCUCUCUGUGUGCAUUAAUGUGUAAUAUAAAGGUCUUUGUGCCCAUAGCACAAAUCUUUCCACUUGUAUCUUCCCCACAUGUUCUUCUCAGUGAUCCACAACUCUUUCUACUUCUAGGACUCCAAAAAUCAGCAAAACAAUUUGCCUAUGGCAGCAAGAAUGUGUAUAUUCUUACUUUGCUCACUUCCCUCUCCUUUUGUCUUCCUAGACUUAGCAUAGUGAAUACACAAUUAAUAAUUGUUUAAAAAUGAUGGCUUGAAGAAAACAAUGACUGAGUUUUGUUAGAUAGUAGACAAAUGAUGAAGACUUUUGAACCAUGUCAAUGAAUCUAUACUUUAUGCUAUAGAAAAUGAAGUCAUUGAAAAAUUUAAUAAUAGGGAUCCAUUUUAUGUUCUCUUCUUCGCUUUCUUUUUACAGAAUGUUGGAUUUUUAAUCAGUGUAUAGUUCUUGAGUGUUCUUUUACAUGACCAGGAAUACACUUGGGUACAUGGUGGGACACCUUGAUUCCUUAAUUAAAAUGGAUCCCAGUUUUUCUUCACUAGUCUUGGGACUUGAUUUGAAAGAUACACACCCACACACACACUCACACCCCCACACAGCUUUUGCUUUAUUUUAAGCAAAUGAUUUUUAAAAAUGUAUUUGAGAGGCAGAGAAAAGAGAGUGAACAAGCUCCUAUCCACUAAUUAAUUCCCCAGUUACGCACAGUGGACUCUGGCUGGGGCCGAAGCUAUGAACCCAAUUCGAGUCUCCCAUGGGCAAUAGCAGAAUCCCAAUUACUUGAGCUAUCACGUGCUGCUUUCCAGGGUCUGAAUUAGCAGGAAACUUGAGUCAGGAGUGAAGCUGGAUAUUGAAUUCAGGCACUCUGACAAGGGAUAUGGGUGUCCCAAUCAGUGUCUUAACAGUUAGACCAAAUACCUGCUCCAGGAUUCACAGAUUUUAAUGGUAAUAAUCUAUUCAAUUCAAUGCUACUUUUGUGUAGAAAGGAAAACACAUAUGUGAUAUGAGGUUGUGACAAAAAAGUGUACUUGCUGUCUUAAUUUUUAAUCUAACAAUCACUACAUAAUGAGAUAAUAAUAAACAUGAUAGUAGUGAUAAUGGAAUAAUAAUAAACAGAAAAGAUUUCUUUGUGCUUCUCUGCAGUAUGGCUCAAUAAUUUCUGCUUUAAUAAUAUUAAAACUCACCUUCAUUUAUGUAAUGCUUUUUAUGUUCAAAUUGCUUAGCCAAAAUUAAGUAAUUAAUCCUUACACUAAACUCUGCAAGGCAGAUAAGAAUUAUCUUCAUUUUACAGAUUAAGUCAAAUGUAGCAUAUUCCAAAUGAUUAAUGCUUUAAAAUCUCCAAUACCAAAUAGUCUGUGUUCCUCUGGAAGCAUGUGGAAGCCCAAAUUUACAUAGUAAUUAUGUGUUCAAUUGUGCUGAGGAAGCAAGUGGCAGGCCCAGAUAAUCUUCCACAAAAGGAAAAAAGAAAAAGGAAAAAUACUGUUAAUAUUACCAAAACGGAGGAAGGAAAGCAAUUUUUAAAAAAUCCCUAUUGAAUAUUAUUCUUCAUAUACAGUGAUUCUCUCUUCAAAAGUCCUUCUAUGCUAAAGACAAAGACAAAAACAAAUCCCAAAACAACCUUGGUAAAUGCUGUUUAAUGCAUAGAAGAAAUCCCAUGGGACAAUGGAAUUUGCAUCUUGAUGAAUGAGAAAGUAGCCAUAGUCAUCUGGAGAUGAUGAUACACAGCUAUUUCCUCAUCAUUUAGUUCAUAAAUUCUAGUAUUGGGCUGCAUGCCACUGGCUGAGCAUGCCUUCUAUGCAAAGACAGUUUGCGUGAGGAUUUGUGCAAAAGAAAGAAGAUAUAUUGUAGAUAUUGAUAAGAAUGUAAUUCCUUGGUCUUACAUUGUGGAAGGACUCUGAGAAAGAAGCUAUUUCUAUUUUUGAACAAGCUUAGCACUUCUCUCUUUUUCUCAUGUCAUGGGGAAGAGUUGAUUGUCAGUGAAACACCAGGAAAGUCUGUAUCUACCUAUUUAUAUCCAUCUAUUCAUCUAUCCAUCUAUCUAUCUAUGUAUCUAUCAUCUUUUCCUCAGUGUACAUUGUUUUCCUUUGUAUCCUUUCUGAAGGUUGAUGGGAUUUAUUUUAGUGACAACAGCUCCUUCAACACUGCCUAGCAUUGUGCAUUAGUGCCAGAAAUAUCACUGUUUAGACACUUAUGGUCCUCAGUGUCUGAUAAUAUGGUGGUCUGGGAUAAUCCUUAGUCUAAGGUAUGUCUAGAAGUCGUUGAUAAAAUGAAAAGAUAAUGCUUAGAUGAACCACUAGGAAAACAAGGAGAAAUGAUCAGAAGAUAGAAAGACAAGCAACAGUUGCUUUAAUGGCCUGUGAAAGGACCAUAGGAGAUGCAUCCUGGGACUGGCAGAAGGUAGAGGGUGGAACAUGGGUUUGGAUCCUCCACAUCCUUGGUGGGUGAUCAAGAAAAAUCACUGCC